Paramuricea clavata is the source of this 805-nucleotide non-coding RNA. The record is from the annotation of a GenBank genome assembly. NCBI's taxonomy places the organism in Eukaryota, Metazoa, Cnidaria, Anthozoa, Malacalcyonacea, Plexauridae.
CGGACACGAUUUGGCAACGCGACGAGAAUUUUCAAUUUUCAAUGACAUUUAACUUUAAUAUUUUUCAGUGUUUUUCAAAUAUUCGGGACCACUUAAGCAAUUUUAGCUAUGCGGUCUAAAUCCCGUUGACGGUUUUAUUUGAUUUUGAAAACCGAACAUUCGCGUCGCAUUGCCGAAUCGCGUCCGGUAGUGUGGGCCUUUAUAGUCGCUGGGGCUAUUGCGAUGAAAAUUGAAAGCUUUGCGUUUUACACACGGAGCUGUCAAUUUUGUGUGAGAUGACCGCUGGAAAGUUAAAAUCUUCGGGACUUAGAGUUGAGUUUCCAUUGACAGUAUUGUCUACUGAGUCAUUUUUGAAAAGCAAUAUAGUAUAAUACAGUCGCUCGAGGUCAACGUACUUUUUAUUGUCCUAUUGAUUUCAAAUACCUCAUUAUUAAACAAAUUUUCUUACUAUGUUGUCGUGUCUGAAUAGUGAUAUAUUUUUCUUUUUAAAGGUGAUUAAAGCAGCAAAAUUGAAAUAAAGUCAUGAAACAUAGCUACUGUAGUAGUAGUAUGGUAUAACUUGUAGGCUAUGUGCUGUAGUAAUUCAGAUAUUGUGCAGAAAAGAUGUCAUUUUUUGUAAAAAUACCUGAUUAAAUGUUUAGUUUGAUAACUGUUCUGAGCAGUGUUGUAGUCCUGAAACGCUAACAAAGGAGCUUGAAACAGGAGGGGAGAGGGCAUGCAGGGCCAGGUUUUCUCUCGAUAUAUUUUUAAAACGGCUGCAUGAAUCCAAGCAUGCUUUCAUGUCGUUCUGCAUUACAGCAGAAGG